UAUUGAAAAUUUUAUCUACUUUUUACAGUUUAGAAUUGACGUGACUAACAGAAUAACUAAAAUAUUAUAUAUGGCGUGUCACGUGUAUCUCAUCCUGGCUUGCAAGGAUAAACUUUUAACCAUAAAAAUUGAUGAAAAUUUUAAUA
This is a microRNA precursor of Gossypium arboreum, 146 nucleotides long. It matches the Rfam family "MIR7502 microRNA precursor family". NCBI's taxonomy places the organism in Eukaryota, Viridiplantae, Streptophyta, Magnoliopsida, Malvales, Malvaceae. The record is from Rfam.